RNAcentral lists this long non-coding RNA (782 nucleotides) under Sorghum bicolor (sorghum). Its description in RNAcentral is "long non-coding RNA (SBIC_LNC002379)". Lineage: Eukaryota; Viridiplantae; Streptophyta; Magnoliopsida; Poales; Poaceae. The record is from RNAcentral.
CGGGUGUAAAGGAGGUCUACGGGUGCGCAAGGAUCUGGGGAAGCUAGCGCGCCUCGCUGCGGAAGCCGGGAGCUCACCGGUGUUGCGGUGGAGGUCGCCGGAGCGGUGGCACGAGGUAGAAGGCGAAGCUGACGGGCGGGACCUGCCCGUCAGUGUCUGCGUGAGGGGAGGGGCAGCGCGCGGUCCGCGCGGGGGAGCUCUCCCGAGCUGGUUUGGGCCGAACGCGUGGGCCGAGCUCCUGGGCCGCAGUGACACAGUGCUGUUUUGUUUUUCUUUUUCUUUUAUGCAGUUUUUGUUUUAUAUUUGAAAUUGUGUAGUAAAUUUUGUGCUGAUCCAAAAAUUAUGAAAAUUUUUGUGUGGGUUCCAGAGAAUGUAAAGAGUGUAGGAAAAAUAUUAAAUUUUAUUUUAUGAUAGUUUGCAUGUAUCUAUAAAUUGCCUCUGUUUAUUAAUGAAUAAACCUUCCAUGAUUUUUAGUAAAUUAUGGGUAUAUCCAAAAAUCAUGAAAUUUAAUAUGUGAUCUUAUGUUACUGUUAUCUAGCUUCAAGAAUAAUUUCAGCUCUGUUUGAUAAAGUAUGCUCUGUCUCUUAAUAAAGCUAUUUAAAAUAAUUAUAAAAGAAAUAGAAAUAAUAAUACCUUUAGAAUUUGGGUGAAAUUUUGGAUUGUUUGACAACCAUGGUUACUUAGCAUGAUAUGCUCCCUGGUUAUGAUUUAUUUUCAUAUCUUUAUGGUAUGAUAGAUUCACAAUAUUGCUUAAUAAAAAUAAUAAAGUUUGUUUAGUAGUG